UUUUUUUUUUUUUUUUUUGGUGCCUUUUUAUCAGAGGGUGCGAGGAGGAGAAGAGAGGGGAGGAGAUGGGAGCUUUGAGUGUAUAUGAUUAGCUCAAUUGGGUAUUUCUCGUGUUAAUUCAUUUUGUUUUUAAAUGAGUCACCCAUGUUUUAUUAUUCCUUAAAUCGGCAACUAGGUUAAUAGGUUAUUUUCCAAUUCUUUCAUAAUUUUGUUACAAUUUUAUUGUUGGGCAUGAAACAACGCAUGACCUUUUCCAUAGAAAUUUGAAAAAAUUCAUCAAAUGUGCUCAAAUAUUAUAACAUUGAGUAUCGAAUUUAUUUUUGUCCAAAGUUCGGGUACCAGAAUCGCUGAAGAGUCAAACUUUGAAUACCAAAACUACAUUUUAUUCAUUAAGUAACUGAACGAUUGAAUCGUCUUGUUAAGCUUUGUAAGAUUUUGGUCGAUUUAAGUUGUUUUAAUCAGGUUUAGUAGACAAAAAAAAAAAAAAAAAAAUUUCAAGUAAUAAGUGAGGCCUAGUUUUCUUUAAUACUCCAUACAAGUAUACAACCACCACCCCAAAAAACCAAAAAAAAGGAAAGAAAAAGAAAAUGAGAAAAUUUGAAAAAUAAUAUUCAGUAAUACUUCAACUAAAACCUAUAUAAUCUCCUUCAUUCCCACCCACAAACGUGAUUUUGAAAUUUCUUACUUUGUUCCCAAAGAUGAAACAAAAAAUACAGCGAGUAUUAGUGUAAAAAUUUUGGCCCAACAGCACCAAAUAUUAGGUAAUUCUGAUGUACAUACAUUACAUACAUGCCCUCUCCCUCUCAGAUUAAAUUUCAAAAUCCGACUUCAUCUCCCAGUACCCAAUGGCGAAUGCACCUGAAAUCAAAGACAAGUGGUCCUAGACGUGGUUUAAAACAUCAGAGUCGAAGAGCUGUUCCAGUUCCACUUCCACCUCUUAGCUAAAGAAACCAUAACUGUCCACCACCUCUUGAAGUUCCAUAACUACUCUUCAACAAAUCUCCUUUUCUCCACUCUACAGCCAAAUAUCUUAAAUUAAAAACUGAACCCAAUGGUUUUUAACGUACGUUGGUCCUUUAGGUAGCACAAAUGCAUAAUUGUGCUCAACGCAUUUAAUACUUAAUGACCUCAACAGUCCUCAUUUCUCUCCAUAGACUAAACGCACACCAUCUUUGUAUUAAACUUCUACUUCUUCACAUGACGUAUAUAUUGUAUGUAGUACACAGUUUCCUUCCCAGGACGCUCCCACAUUUAUGGCCUUCUUCCCUUGAUCACAAGUUUUUUCGGGGUUGCAAAGCUCUGCUUUCUUUACUCGUCAAAUUAACCACCAAGAUAUUAUUCUUUUUGUUGUGAAGAUGAUGAAUUUGAGUUGCUUUAGUACUUGCGGGACUUUGGUUUUAUUAGUUCUUUUGUUUUGGGGUGACGUUCCAAAAGGUCCUUCUAAGGUUUACGCUGUGGAAGAGUUUGAGAAGCACUAUAUUGAGUGGGAUGACUUGACAGUGGCUGAUGAGAGUGAUCAAGGGUUAGACUUGGAUCAAAGAAAACCUAGCAAAGUUAUUGUGGUUGAUAAAAAUGGCGGAGGAGAUUCAGUUACAGUUCAGGGUGCUGUUGAUCUUGUUCCCGAACACAAUCAGUUGAGACAUAAAAUUUACAUUCUUCCAGGAAUAUACAGGUUCCUCUUAACAUGGUGAUGCAUCAUUUAUUUGUGCAGAAUUCAUGCUUGUUUCCGUGAUUAUGUGUGUUUUUCCGCACGUUUUACUUUUUCUUGAUAUCUUCCCUCCCCUUGGAAGGUUGAAGCGCAGAUUUUCUUUCCAGCAAGAGUCAUUGCAUUUUCCCCAAGUAUAUUUGCAUGCAACGACAAGAAAAUAGGACGUGGGUUGUAGCUAGCGUUCAUGGAAGUUAUUAACAUAGUUAGUGGGCUAGCCAUUUUCGGUUUGUUUUGUUAAUUAACUUGUUAUAUAUUUUGUGCAUGCAUGGACCUCGGUGCCUGGUUAAAAUUGCUGGACAGAGAAAAGGUGCGUGUGCCAAAAUCCAAACCGUACGUUUCUUUCAUUGGAGAGGAAGGUCGAGCAUCCGAAACCGUUAUUACUUGGCACGACAAAGCAUCUGAUAAAGACGCAGAUGGUAAUGAAAUAGGGACCUUUGGAACGGCUUCCGUUACUGUGGAAUCCGAUUACUUUGGUGCAAGAGAGGUCACAUUCGAGGUACUAAUAAUUAGUUGUCUCUGCUGCAAAAUCUCUCAGUUAAAUACGAGGUUGAGAGUUAAUUCUGGGACAGACUGAUUAAUUUCUUAGUACCUCUCCUCCUCCAUGGAUUUAUUAUUGCAGAAUUCGGUGGUCGCAAUUCCUGGAACCAACAAUAUGCAAGCUGUGGCAUUGAGAUUAAAAGGUGAUAAAGCGUGGCUGUAUAGAGUUAGGAUUUUAGGGACACAGGAUACGCUGCUGGAUGAAUCUGGGUUACAUUUCUAUGAAGAGUGUUUCAUUCAAGGCUCCGUAGACUUCAUAUUUGGCAAUGCCAAGUCCCUUUAUCGGGUAUUUUCUUCUAAAAACCCCCCUUCUUCUUUUUUUUUCCUUUCCGUAUUUUAAUCGUGUAGCGGGCUAUCAAUAUCAUGGGUUGGAGUUGUACAGGACUGUAUCCUUCACUCUGUAGCAAACGGAUCCGGAGCAAUAGCAGCAAAUCAUAGAGACACACCUAAUCAGGAUUCUGGGUUCUCUUUUGUCCACUGUCAAAUCAAAGGGACUGGCAGAAUCCUCCUGGGCAGAGCCUGGGGAAAUUACUCCAAAGUAGCCUACUCUUUCUGCGAUUUUGACGACAUAAUCGCUCCUGAAGGGUGGAGUGAUUGGAACAGCACAGCCAAGGAAAGGUAUAGGAAGGUUCUUGCAGUUUCUCUUAUUGUUACUGCUCAAAUGUUUAACUGGCUGCUCUGGCGUAGGACCGUGGAAUUUGGAGAAUUCCGUUGCAGAGGCAAGGGGGCCGGCAGGAGAAAUCGGGUGGCGUGGUCUAAAUCUUUCAGUUUCUAUGAAGCGCUGCCCUUCUUAACCACCCAAUUCAUCCAUGCUUAUCAAUGGCUGCUACGGCGAUGAAGAGAGUUCAUGUUUUGCAAUCAUGAAGAGAGUUCUAUUAACUGUGUCUUACAUUAUUAGACGGUACAGAAUGCAGCACCAGCAAUCAACUGCCUUUACAUUAUUGUCAUAAACGAGUUCACUAGUUGUGUCUAAUAUGUAGUGACUAAUUUUAUCACCACCUGCUUCUAGGUCAGUUGUAGCAUCGUUUUGGAAAACAUUAAUUGCCUAUCGUAUACCAUAUGGUUGCAAAUGUUUCCACUUUUCAGUCCAAGAACGAAGGCAAAUGCAAGUGGGUUAGGCCUUGCUGCAUGAAGACAUCACAACUGACAUGAUAUAUGGUACUAUAUUUAUAUAUAUAUAUAUAUAUAACCAUUUGAAUUUGAACGUUACAAUGGGAUUAAAUACAAGUGAUAAGCAAGAACACAUAUCAAUAAAGACUACGAAGAGUAGCCAACAGAGGAAGAGGUGGUCCAAACCCAUAUCACCAGACUUGUGUUCCCUAUCCAUCAUAUACUGGUGUUCCCAUACCACCAAAGCUUUUCCCUUGCUACAGGCUCCCGAAUCCUCCCCGUCAAAGCAACCGUCAAAAGCAACGCAAUUUCCUAGUCCUAUCUAUUUACAUCUAACCUAGUACUUUUAACAAUCAUCACCGCAUCCAACAGUUAAUACAACUGUUAAAAGACAUUCUGACAGCAUCUUACUCAGCCGCUUCCGCUCUUUCAGCUUCACAUUGCCGCCCACCAGUCCCAAUUUCUGCUAACUUGUCUUCAUGGCUUCCCUCAUUGUCAUCAUCACUAUUCUGUGAAUUGGCCAUAACAGAACUGUUAUCAGCAAGGUGAGAUUCCGCAUUGUCCCUUACAUCACUGUCAUCAACUUGUUUACCACAAUGUUCCCUAUCUUCACAAUCAAACACUUGCUGCUGAUCGCUAUCGGCACACGCACCAUUCGGGGUCUCAUGGACAACGUCAAGUUUGAUGUCAGUUGGAGCCUUAAGGCAUGAAACAGGAGACCCAUCAGAUUUGACCUCCUUGGUAAUGGCUGAUGAAACAGAAUGCUUACUAUCUAAACUAAUAGCUGCAGAUAUGAUUGAGAGAAUAUCAGGGUUUCCCUCAACAUCCAUCCACUGAUCUCCCACCCAGUCUCUUGAUAUUCUUAGCUUCUUUUUGUCUAUAUUCAAAACCAAGUUUUCACCUGAUAUAAAACACAAGGUAGGAUUAGAAAAGUGGUUCCUGGGGUCCGGAUAAUGUGGCAAGAUCAUGCAAUAAAGUGAAAAAAAAAAAGUUCAGCUGAUGUCUUCAACAAAAAUAAUAAAUAACACUUACUGGGAAUAUAAACUUGAUAACUGCCUUUGCCAGAGUUGUAAUUUCCAGUGACUACUCCCUCCCACCAGCCGUCACUCCACCAGGCAUCAACAGGAGCUCCAACCUUGAAGACAUCAUCCAUUUGAUUAGAAGUGACAGCAGGCCUAAUAGUUGGUCGGCCUGGGUAUCUCAUUCCAAAUUUAUCAGGAGUUGCCAGUCUAAAUGCCGGGAUCCAUUCCUACCAGGUGCAAGAAAACGUCAACUCACAUCUUUCAAAUUAAAUCUAAUUUAAAAAUUUGCGCCGUCAAGGCACGAAGGAAAAGUUAGCGUGAAUAAUGAGAAUACUUUGUGAUACCAAUUGGAAGAAUCUAAAACCUUUAUAGAGCUAAAACUUUCCUUGCAAGGAAUCAGUUAAUUAGUGUUUAACUUGACAUUUCUUUCAUCAGGAAUAUUUAUGGCCAUAAACACCUGGCCCAUUGUACCAUCAAAAGGUUAACAAGGAUAUCUUUGAUAUUAUUUAGUAACAUUUCUGACAUGACAACUAUUACUCACGAAGUCACAAGGAUCUUUGCUAUAUAUUUAAAAUUGCAUCUUAGCAAUAAAAAAAUAAAUAAAUAAAAGAAAACAUUAAGUACCUCAAGAUAUCCACAGCCAUCUUCAUCCUCAAUGUCAUCAUAUUGGAUUCUCAUCUGUCUUCUUGAGAUCUCCAAUACAGUGCACCUGAACCAGCAGCCCCUGAUGCCACUAUCUUGGCACAAAAAUUCAAUCUUAUCAUUGACAUUAAACAUUGGAGUCUGCCAAAAUUGACCUUCAACAUGUUUUUGCAAGUUCGGUCCCCCAUUUAGCAGACCAUACUUCAAUUUAUCAGAGGAAAAUUUGUUUGUCACAUGUUGAGGUUCUCUACCUCUCUUCGUCCUUUUAACACCCACUUUUACCUCAUCCCCAGAGCUAAAUUCUUCAUCUUCAAAGAAAUCACGGCUAAAGCAUGAGAAAAUUGGUUGAUUAAAAUAUCCACCCAAUUUACUUAGCUUGAAUGGUUUGACUCGAUUGCUCUUGAAUUGUCUAAAACAAAAAUGUGCUCGAGCAAACACAUCAUUUGGGAAAACAGCUAUGCACUUCUCAUAAUGUUCACGAGUCAAAACUAUUGCAGGACCAUCAACACACUCCGCACUGAUAACUUGAGCAUAAGGUGUAAUAAAUACUUCUUUAGGAUGCGGGUUCCGUACAGAAACAACACCCCUUACUUCUCGAUUAUGGUGAAACCAUCUCACUUUUACCUUUUUGUGGCCCUUUCUGUCUUCAUACAUAUCUUCCAAAUAUGCAAGAUACCUGUUCUCCUUUUCAGCCAUGACAUAUACAAAUGAUUGAACCUGAAAAUUAGACUGCACAUCAGUCUAGGCAAAAUAUUGAAAUCCAAAUGACGCAUCAAAACAACAUAGAAAGAAAUAUAUAUUAACAACUCAAGGAAAACAUAAGGAGCAUGCAGUUGAUUUCCCCAGGUAUUGGAUGUCCCAAGCCUUCAGACUCAUCAUACUCAGCGGUCACACUAAAUAAUCAAAAUCUCAAAGGGGAAAAGGAAGUCCACAUCUUAUGCAAAUGCUACUGAGAAAACCUCAUGUCAAGUCUUUAGGACGUCUCAGUACGCUCACCGCUAUAGUAACCCCAUUUCUGCAAAAUGCUGGGAAGUGCUUAAGUUGUUUACCACAUGCCCAUGCUUCAUCAGACCAAACUAUAUCCGAGGGAUUUCCUCUUAAAUUCCUUGCAAGACGGCCCUGAAAUGAAAGAGCACCUGCAUUAAGUUUCACUUCUACUUCAGACUGCAUAAGAAAGAAGAGGAAAACCAGUACCUUAGGUUCUCGAAUUUGUGGCUGUCUAAUGUUGACGGCAAAAAUUGGAUCAUCUUUUGGUGAUCCUGUAAAGAAGAAGGGCAAUCUUCAAUUGAAGGAACUAAACAAUCUAUAAAUGUCAAAGCCAAUAUACUCGCACCAAACCAUUAUGGCUACUGGUCUUGAAUAAAGGUAAAAAUGUAAUAUGACAGAAUCAGUGAAGGAAUAUGCAAAAUAUUAUACAAACCUCUACCUUGCACGAGAAUUUAAUCCACAAAAACAUUGCCAUGAAUUCAAUGUUCAAUUUCAAAAAACUGAGAAAAAAUUGUCUCUAAUGUCCAGAAAUAUCACGAAUGAAAUUAAAAGCCUUCAGCAAAGGCUUAUCCGGGCGGUAAACCCCCAUGUCUAAAAAUAACCUGCCAACCCCCCGGCCCACCAAGAAGAAAAAGAAAAAUCAAAUAGCCAGGUAAGUAUCCAUACUUACAAAUAUAACUUAGUUAAUCAAGAUUAAUUUCUCAAUGAUGGCUCACAAAUCCUCAACAGGGUAAACAAGGUCAUAUCCUUCCAAAAUCAAAACUUCUAAGUAUCGAAGCAUGCUUAUCAAAGAAACAAGUGUUAACGCGUACCCAUGAACGCUUGCACAGGGCACCACGAUUGUGAAAACUCAAAUGCAAAUAGAAAAGCGAUGAGAAGGGAGGCAAAGUGGAAGACACAAAGCUUCAGAGCUAUAAAACAGGGAGAAGCCAACAAUUUCUCUAAUUUUUAUCAAACCUUCAAAAAGUAUCAGAAUAUGCAGUUUAGAAGAGAGUUCCACAAUUGAAUCAAUAUCGGACUUGCUAAAUCAAAGAUAUGGGCAAUCGCACAACACACAGCUGGAAAACAGCUAGCACUACAAAUGACGGCAAAAACAUACUUGAGCAAUCGCUUUGUCUAUGCUGUUUUGAAAGCAUAGAUGUGAGCCAAUUUACGACCUCUCUCCUUGAUCUCCAUCUGAAGCCAGCAUGGACAGAAUUCUCAGCCCCAUAAGCAUUCAAAAACUCCUCAGAAACAACAUAGAACAUGUGCCUAACACUUCUCUCAGUACCCACAACAGCAAGAAUGGAUUCCCCUGAUGAAUCCUUCAAGAAAUAGUGAACCACCCGGUUACCCCUCUCUUUUGAAACAAAUUGUUCUUUCCACUCUACAAAACACUGAUCACUUGCAGCCAUAAUUCAAAUAAUACUAAACCUAACCUAGGGAGCUAAACGAACCGUCGAAGUCCUAAAAAAUCCCAAAUUUGCAAAACUUAAGCUGCCCUACAAAAGAAAUCUGUCAAAGGGUGUUGACCAAAGCAAACUAGCCGUCCACAAAAGCUAAAGCUGCAAUCUUUGCAAGAACUGAAGGACAAAAGGUUACAAUCUUGCCGAUUGAGUGCUCAAACUAAGUUCACUCAAAAGGGCUUUUCCGAAAUUCCAGCCGAAAGUCAAAGAAACUCAAAGCAGACAAAAAAGCAGGGUAUUUGGGGCAAAACUGAGGACGACCCACAAAAGCCCAUGGCUCAAAAGAUCUGAACGAACGGCAGAAACCUAAGUAAGAUAACAGUUCAAAACGCCACCUAACUUUUCAUUUCUCCUACCUAAGUAAAAAAAAAAAAAAAUCAUCAACAAAAUGAAGUAAGCGUCAGGGUUAACAACAAUAGGGACAGAGCUAAGAAGAAAUUAGCAAAUCCAAAUGGUUUGGGAGUUGAAUAGAGAAAAGAAUAGUAUGCCCCAGUUGAACGUGGAAAAAAAAUAAUAAUAAAAAAAAAGAACCAGUUUUUGUUCCCUGGCUUUCAGAAGCUGAACAUUGAAAAGCUAGCUAGGGAAGAAAGAGAAAAGGAGGAGGAGGAAGAGUUGAGGAGAAACACCGGAGAGAAAAUGGGGUUCAAUGGGAAAAGAAAGCAUAGUGGAAGGGAAGGCAAGGGAAGGGAGAGUUGCAGAGUCGUCAAAGGAAGCUGAAAGUGGAAACUGGAAACCCUUCGAGAUUUUUUUUUUUUUUUUGGAAUUGGGCAAGAGGGAGUGGGGAUGGGGUGGGGACUCGUAGCCGGUACCCGGUGGAAUGAUCAAAUGAGGUAACAGUAAACUAUGAUCAUAAUGAAAUCUAUCAUGUGAUUCGCUUAGAUGCUUUGAGCAAACAGUGGGACCUCCUACUUCAUCUUGAUCAGCUUGAUCUUGAUCCUACGGUUAUUCUGUAAAUUCUACUUUCUCACGGACGCCGUAAUUCUCAUUCGUAGGCAUGGCAACGGUUUCAGAAUUGUCGGUUCUGAUUUUUUAAAGAGGUAGAAUCAGAACCGUAUCAUAUAAGAUGGUUUUGGUUCUGAUUCUUUAAAAAGGUAGAACUAGAACUGCAUAGUUAUAAUUUUGGUUCCUUAUGGUUCUAGUUCUUGUUUUCGGUUCUAUAUAGUUGUAUAUAAUUUUAUUUAAUUCCUCAUCCUUACCAAUUUUAAUACGAAUAUAACAAUAUAUUUAAAAUUUCAAAUAAAAUGUAAAAAAAUAAAUACAAAAUAAAGAUCAUAUUUUAAUUUUAUUAUUAUUCUACAAAGUAAGAAGUAAUAAAUAGAUAAUAUAAAUUUUAUGAAAAGUAUAUUACAUUGUCAAAUUAAAAAAUACAUUACACUAUCAAAUGGUUGUCAUGUGUUAACUUUCUUGAGUUGGACAAUCAUCAAUGUUGAAGAUUCCAUUUGAAGAAAUAUUGCAAAAAAUAUUUUUUUGCUUGCUUGAUUUUGAAGAUGAGCUACUACCAUCAAAACUUGUCAUUUGAUAGCAAAUAAGUAAAAAAAAAAUGUGUAAGUAAUAAUUUAAUACUUACAAAUUAUAAUGAUAGAUAUUAGAUGAAUAGAAAGAAUUAAAUAAUUAAUAAAAUAUAUAGAAAGUCCAUAAAAUUUAAACUUUCUUAAAACCUAUUAAACACAACUUUUUUUUUUUGAAUUAUCUCACUACUUAUAUUAAUUAUUUUUAACGGUUCUGGAACCAGCGGUUCUGGUUCUGGUUCUAUUUUUUAGAGAACCAGAACCGGAACUACCACGGUUCUGGUUUCAUGAUUUUAGUUCUGAUUUUGGUCCAAUUCCAAACGGUCCGAUUCCGGUUCAAUUUCUGGUUCCAAAUGAAACCAUGGCCAUGCCUAAUUCGUAGGUCUCUAAUUUUAAUUUUCUCCAGCACCGCGGAUGACUCGUGUCUUCAGCCCAUUCUUCCCCAUGAAAUUUCUACUCUCAAUGGUCAAUGCUACCUUAGUCUCCCUUUUCUUUUUUUUUUGGAAGGAUGCAACCGUUAAAACCUCAUCCAUUUUUGGGUCGGGUGUAAAUGCUAACCAAAAAAGGUCGUGUGAUUUCUAGUAAUUUCGAUUGUUGAAAAAAAUUAAAUGCUAACCAAAAACAGGGCAUUGGCUGUUGUCGCAGAGUAUUUCCGGAAUGGUUCUUAAUUCUUGUACAGUUGUGAGAGCUGGUUUAAUGCUCCCCUCGACUCGACAGUUACUUUUUUGGGCAGAAACCUGGAAAAGUCAAGUAAAUGCCCCGUUUGAGCACAAGAUUUUGCCUUUAUUAAAUUAGGGACUUUUCAAAAAAAGUUAUUGGAUUUACAUGACGAACAGCAUCAACGCUAUUAUCCUUUUUUCCAAAAAGAUAAAAAAAAAAUAAAUUAUCAAUUUCAAUACAUGUGCUGUUGAAAGUAACUUCUGUAACACAACAACAGUGACAUCCACCGAGAACUCUGCGGUAAUUUUGGGUUUCGGUCGGCUAGAAGCAGUAUAUCAUUGGGUCCACAAGGGUCUGGAGGGCCGAUCCAAAAUGUACUAACCCACCUAGAAACAGACCAAAGACCUACUCAUGGUGGUCCAAAGUUCAACAGAUCAUUUUGAUCUUCGCCUAUGUAUGGGCCAGGCUUUUUUGGGCCCCGCGGCCAAGCUUCCAGAAGUGAAACCGAAAUGAAAGGUCGCGAAGCUAGCAGCAGUACUAGUUUCUUUAUGCACAGCAGCGUUAUUCCCUGUGCUUCGGGAAGACAAGGCAGGACGGUCAUUAAAAGGACCGUCCCUGAACAGUGCACGGUCAAAAUUUAAUUGUACGAUUCAAAUUACUUUUUGUACCUCGUUUUUUAUAACGUUUGUGGAAUCUACAAAAAUUUAUUUUAAAGUUACAUGUUGUGCAAAUAAAGAUGUUGUGCAAAUAAAGUUACGCCGUGUGCAAACAAAGUUAUGCCGUGUGUAAAGUGCACAAAAUCACUAGGAACGGGGGUUGCACCUAGGUCCGUGCUUCGGCUGCAAGUGCUAUUCCAUUUUCAUGUGCUUCCAAUAGCAGCAUGCUAUCAGCAAGAAAGAAAAUCAUCUUAGCAUAGCACCAGAUAAAUGUACAACGUGCCAUUUACAUAAUUUCAUCCAAAUGCUUCAUCAAUCAGUUUCUCUUGUGAUGCCUGACUGCUUUCCAAAUCGCCUUUCAACUACUAAUCCAACAGAUGUUACCAAGAAAAUGGCCUCCACAAACAUAGAAUUUCAGCUGCUCCAGUUCAAGGACUUUGUGCUAGCUUAGCCACAGGGGGGC
Molecule: long non-coding RNA, 10738 nt
Filed under: Coffea arabica (coffee)
Lineage: Eukaryota; Viridiplantae; Streptophyta; Magnoliopsida; Gentianales; Rubiaceae
Description: long non-coding RNA (CARA_LNC003622)
Source: RNAcentral